AGCUCUGUUGUUAGGGAAGAACAAGUGCCGUUCAAAUAGGGCGGCACUUGACGGUACCUAACCAGAAAGCCACGGCUAACUACGUGCCAGCAGCCGCGGUAAUACGUAGGUGGCAAGCGUUGUCCGGGAAUUAUUGGGCGUAAAGGGCUCGCAGGCGGUUUCUUAAGUCUGAUGUGAAAGCCCCCGGCUCAACCGGGGAGGGUCAUUGGAAACUGGGGAACUUGAGUGCAGAAGAGGAGAGUGGAAUUCCACGUGUAGCGGUGAAAUGCGUAGAGAUGUGGAGGAACACCAGUGGCGAAGGCGACUCUCUGGUCUGUAACUGACGCUGAGGAGCGAAAGCGUGGGGAGCGAACAGGAUUAGAUACCCUGGUAGUCCACGCCGUAAACGAUGAGUGCUAAGUGUUAGGGGGUUUCCGCCCCUUAGUGCUGCAGCUAACGCAUUAAGCACUCCGCCUGGGGAGUACGGUCGCAAGACUGAAACUCAAAGGAAUUGACGGGGGCCCGCACAAGCGGUGGAGCAUGUGGUUUAAUUCGAAGCAACGCGAAGAACCUUACCAGGUCUUGACAUCCUCUGACAAUCCUAGAGAUAGGACGUCCCCUUCGGGGGCAGAGUGACAGGUGGUGCAUGGUUGUCGUCAGCUCGUGUCGUGAGAUGUUGGGUUAAGUCCCGCAACGAGCGCAACCCUUGAUCUUAGUUGCCAGCAUUCAGUUGGGCACUCUAAGGUGACUGCCGGUGACAAACCGGAGGAAGGUGGGGAUGACGUCAAAUCAUCAUGCCCCUUAUGACCUGGGCUACACACGUGCUACAAUGGACAGAACAAAGGGCAGCGAAACCGCGAGGUUAAGCCAAUCCCACAAAUCUGUUCUCAGUUCGGAUCGCAGUCUGCAACUCGACUGCGUGAAGCUGGAAUCGCUAGUAAUCGCGGAUCAGCAUGCCGCGGUGAAUACGUUCCCGGGCCUUGUACACACCGCCCGUCACACCACGAGAGUUUGUAACACCCGAAGUCGGUGAGGUAACCUUUUAGGAGCCAGCCGCCGAAGGUGGGACAGAUGAUUGGGGUGAAGUCGUAACAAGGAGCAUAAAGG
RNAcentral lists this ribosomal RNA (1086 nucleotides) under Bacillus vallismortis. RNAcentral describes it as "bacterial SSU rRNA". It matches the Rfam family "Bacterial small subunit ribosomal RNA", at positions 429 to 1506 of the family's 1533-position model. The record is from RNAcentral. Lineage: Bacteria; Bacillati; Bacillota; Bacilli; Caryophanales; Bacillaceae.